CUAAAAUUAAUUUAAACAAUAAAUAAAAACAAUAAACAUGUAAAGACAUAAGAAUAAAUUAUAAAAAAUUUGUUGCGCGUUUAAAUUUGAUACUGGAAUAUUGUCUGAAUUUGUUGCUCUCAAAAUAUGCAAGUUUUACAACUUUUUAGUAACAAAUGAGCAACAAAUACAAAUAUUAUUAACAAUUGAUUCUGCUCAUUUUGUUCUGUUAACUUAUAAGACGUUGAUAAAUCUCCUAAUGUCUUUUUCGCUCUUCCUCUGUUCUCCGAUUUCUUGCAUCACAUUUCUUCUUUCUUAUAGUUCUAGUUGCAUGUAUCGUAACUGGUACGACAGUACUCUUUCUUCUUCAACUCCCUUCGCACGAUAAGUUUUGUCUGUAUUGAGCUGUUUUUACAUCUUACACUGAUAUACGAUGGUGAAAGCUUUAUAAACUGAUACAAUUUUAACUAUAUAAAUUGAUCUUCUUUUGUCGCUAUUUUUUGUUAUAUAAUUAAUAGGAUAUAACGCAAAACUGAAUAAAUUAUUAUUAUAUACAGUUAAAAGUACAUGCAAAUUUAAAGGUUAUUGCACUAAUACAGAAAUUUUUAAUGUAUUUAAUGUUUUAUGUGAAUCUCGUUUAACAAUGAAUCUCUUUUUGGUUAUUUAUCUUGUUUUCGAAAGUCAUCUGAGAAUAACCUUCUGUGAAGCGCUAUUUGAAGAAGAAAGCCCGCGGAGCUUUGAUCUUGCCCCUUGAGAUCCUCAGAAUUGUACGAGUAAAUAAAUAUCCCGGUAAUUCGAUGCUAGCCCAUUAGGAGAAAAACAAAAGAGUCUGAAUGGGACGGAGAAAUUUUCCGGCAGAUAAUUGAAAUUGGAGACGCAUUACGCUCUUUCGAGUACCUAGCCGAGAACAUAUUCCGUUUACCGUGCAAGUACAGACUGCGCAGUUCGCUAACUAUACUUUUAAAGUUUCUAAAUAUAGCGGUAAGACAAAACAACAAUCCAUUGCUGCUCUCAUCGUACUCAGUUUUAUAUUACUUAUAAUCCUGUGAAAUAUACCUUUCCAUAAAUUCGUUGCUUUUGUUUACCGUUUAUGAAGCUUUCUGUUAUCCCAUCAAACAAACGUGAAAUUUCCUUUUUUAUGGUAGUGCCAACAGAGAAAAUUGCGUAACUGCAUCUUCUAAUUGGACAGUGUUACGUAAUACUAAGUAAACAUCAGUAUUUUAAUAGAUAAUAAAUACGAAAUUUUAAUAAAUUAUAAAAUAUUACUUUUUUUUAUUUUUUGCAUAGUUUUGGUAAUGUCAGGUAUUUAGAUAUAUACGAACUUUAAUCAUUUUUGUUUAUUAUUGUAAAAAAUUUAUUAGAACAAUAUCAGGUAGAUAACUACAAAUCAGGCAGAUUUAUUAGUUCUAUUUAAUUUUUUAAUUUAAUUUUUAUUUUUUUCUUUUCGGACUUCUAUAUUUUAAGCGAUAUUUUGUAGAUUUGCAUCAAAUACGUAAAUUAUCAAAUUCGUGCACGAUGCGUAAACGUAAGACAUGUACCUGACUUAAUAUGUGCUCAAUUGCAGGUAUCCGUACUGCAUAUACGGAUACGCGAAAUGUACCAAGUCGUAAUUUGUAGAUCGUUGCAUCAGCAUUUAAGCGACGUUUUCGGAAAUUACGGCGGGAUGUAGCUCGCGCAGGUGAGAAGGUUUUUGCAUAAAUUGUAAUUAACAUACCAUCAAUUAUGAUUAUGACGGACACGCGUGUGGCAAGGCAAAUUAAUGUUUAUGAGUAGCGAGCUUUAUGGUCAAGAGUAAUGCGAGGCGCGCAAGGUGCCAAACUGGAAAUUAGAUCGUAGCGCAAAGGAUUUACGGUAGCCGGUAACAUCAGAUAACAACGGUAACACUUACUGUGAAAUUAAUGCUAAGCCAGCAAUCUCUGUUGUAACGUAACGUGUAUGAAUAUCACAUGAAAUAUAUUAUACAUAGAUAGAAUAUGUGUACUUUAUCAACUCUGACAUAUUUUACACAUAUAAUUUUUAAUUUACUUCUUGUAGAUAUAAUUUUUAACAUUUUGUAAAAACACAAUUGCAUUUGCAACUAAUUACGUAUCCCAGUAUUCACAAGAAUGACAAAUGAGAGUCAUUAGAUUAUGCAGUUACAUGUUGAGAGUUUCGUAUUAAUUGCUGAACGUAAUAUCCAUAAAACGGUUUAGUGCUUUUUAAAGAGAGAGUAAUAUUUUAUAUCAUAUACAUGUUUUUGAUGAAUUAAAAAUAGAGCUGCUUGUAAAAAUUAACGAUCGGGUCGAUGGUUACCGGAUGCUAUCAGCUUAAUGACCGACGCGUUACAGUCGAUAAAGCCGACAGUCAGGAGACAGAGUUUAUUACGUAUUGACAAUAUUUUACAAUAAAGAGGUAAUAUAUACGGGGGAUUUAGUUUAUAUUUGAAAGUUUCACCGUUAUGGGGUAGCGCGCGGUAGUCAUUCUUAUAGAACGCAAAGUUAAACCCACAUGGAGCUCAUAGAGAGAACGGCGCCUCCACUCCUCGGCCCCCCCACACUAACGUGCUUUAUAGUUCAUCUACAUUGGAUACCAUGGGGUGUUAUUAGAACUUUUCAGUCGUAUAAAUCUGUGCUCGCGAUGAUACUACUUCCUACAUGGAUUCUCCAAGCUGUCAUAAUACAUCCCUUAAAAACGUGCGCCAAAUGACUCGCACGAAUUAACAAUGCUAAUAGACAUUCUUUACGUAAAUGCCUAUAUCCAUAUUAAUAAACUGUAAAUUAUUAUAUUGAUUGCUUACUCUAUUCUCAGAUAUCGGGAAAUACCUAGGCAGGCACUACCCUUUUAGUUAUAGGCUAGAAACGAGACCAAACGUAACUUAAAGAGAGAGAGAGAGAGAGAAACCUUUUAAAUAUUUUUUUGUUAUUUAACACACGUACACGCACAAGCACACCUAUACACACGAGAAAGAACAAUAGAAAUAUAGAAGAGAAUGGCUCUUUGUUCUAAAUAAUCAUUUCUGAGAAAAGCUAUUAUAAUGGCGCGUAGUAACCAAAGAGUUAAAAAUACAUCUUCGAUAAUAUUAAAAUUAAAAAUAAAUCGAGCUAAUGGAUCGGUGUGAUCUUCCCCGCAGUGAUUUUGAGAUAUCAAUCCGUUGUAAUUGUAUUCGGUUUCCUUUCGGUAACAGCUGAGAAAUCGUAAUAAAUCUCCGUCGUUGGUGAGAUAAUAUUGCGAGAAGGUGAGAUUCACGUCCGUAGCGCAUAUCCGGGAAUUUGAGAGCGAAUGGCAGGGAUUACGGCGCGCGGCCACACGCUUUGAAACUUGGUGGUUUUAAGGUGCGCGCGCGGCGCAAGAGACGUGUCGGCCAAACGAAUGGUCUUCCUGCUCGCGGAAGCAUUUCAUGCAAAUUUGUCCCAGUGCGAUGUCACUCGUACUUUCCAGUCUGCGCGGUAACCAGCGACCUACUUUCCGUUUUCGCGCCCCUCUCGAGAGACGCUCGUUCUUUGCGCAUACAAAGCACACGGGGACUCCUCCUAACGUGUAGCCUGAUAGAGCGCUACGCUUCGUUAUACAUACAAAUAAUUAAAUAUUAAAUUAUAAAUAGUCAUCGAGAAAAAGCGUACAACUUUAAAAUAGGCGUUCGUGGAAAAUGGAAAUACGGCGCGGAUUAUAAUUUCAAUUGGAUUUCAAUUUAUAUACAUUUUCGUAUCUCAUUUAAUUACUGUUAUGUAAAGUAUGUGAAUAAAACAUGAAAUUAACUGAAAAAACAGACAGUUCAAUCUUUUAAUUAUACUCUCACUGAUGUGUUCGCUAUUUUCGUUUUCACUCUCGUUCCCAUAUUUCGCGUUUGUACUUUCGCGGCAGGCGUGCACGUGCACGACUUUUAAAACUUCGAGUUACUCCAUUUAAACCACGCCACCUAAGAAUAACUCGUGGUUUUUACGAGUGAGUUCUCGAUCAUUUUUUUCCACAUGCAUAGCGAAAUGAAGCGCGGCAGGUGCGAAACGUCGCGAGGAGCGCACGUGCGCGUAUCUGCUGCCGAAAAUACUGUCGAUCGUAUCGCGUCGGGUCACGCGAACCCCCCCGGAUUUUUAUUAACACACCAAUAUGCUGCGACGCGCACCCUCUCGUCGCGCCCGUAUUCUUUUUUUUUUUCUACCCACAGUCCACUAAGUGCGUGCGCGGCGAUCUAAAAUUAGGAUGAUACGUUUCCCACGUCCCUAUCUGCCGGUCAAUUAUCACCCUCGUCGAGUGUCUCGAUAAGGAUUCUUCGGCUAAUUGCGGGGAACAGGCGAAGUUAACGUGUCACUGUUAUAUAGCUAACGCUUUAUUUCUCAUGGCCCGAAUUCACGCCUUUGUCGUACUUAUACGCACGCGUGACCGCACCAACAAAUGCUUGCCGUGCUUUGAGGUGUACACGCUUUAUCGCUCGGAAUUAUCUAUGACAAAGUUUCGGAUAUGUAACUGUUUAAAAACCGUAUACUCAAUUUUCACGCAGCCAUCGUUCCAUCGCAUAUAAAUGACUGCAGAAAACAAUUUGAAUACCUCAUUCAUAUGUGACACGCACGAUAUUACAUUAGAAUUUUCAGAGGGAUAAAUAAAGCCUUAAAUUUAAAAAAAUUAUAGACAAAAUUGUAUUUUAUACAUUAUCUUUUCAAUUCUUAAAAAACUGAGCAUAAUGAAUGCAUAAGUCUCAAUGUUCUGAAUACAAAUGGUAAUGUCUCUUUCUCGUCAACAUUACAAUGUCUAAUAUUUUUAAUUGUAAGUUAGCAUCGAGUUACUCAUAAGAAUAGAAAUGCAUAAGCAAAUCUUAUAAUCUGUUCUACAUAGUUUCUCUAAUAGUGUUUUUUAAUGCUUAUUUCUUAAACCGCAUCGAACCGGCUACUUCAAAGUCAAAUAAAAGAGUUUGGGGUGGUGUGUGGUCCCGACGAUGGUGCUGUGCCUCCUUUACACAUCUUCAGCACGCGCCGCCAAACUUUUUCUCAAAUGUUAGCUAAGGGUUACGCGGUCCGCAGUCCGAUUUCUUCGCACGACGCGACCACGUGGACGUGUAUACGUGCUGCGAUUUAGCAAUUCGACAUUUAUCACUCAAAAGAAUUAGAAAAGCAAGCGCUGCGGGAAAUCUAACUGCGCCAUCGUCUGCACAACUUUCGCUGUGUUGUCCACGUCUCGUGUAAUUAUUUUGCAUGUUCGUAUAUACAUAUAUAAUUACGGAAUUGUGUAGUAGAAGUAACAAUAAAGGAAUAAAUGUAGAUGUCAUAGUCGAUACAAGUUCUCACUUAUCCUCCUUGUGAUCCUUAUUAUCUUAUACAAACUAUCGAUGUUGCCAAUAUCUAGAGGGUUGAUCUCGGCUUGGCGAGUAAUGAAUGUUUAUUAGGGCAGGAUACGUUGACGGAUCUCAGUAGACUCGAGACGGAUCGAUAUGCGUUGGUCUAGACGUUCGUGCCUCGAAAUAAUUGGUUGACUCUGAUCCUGCAUUCUGUGUUCGUGAGAGGUAAACAUUUGUGAUUGCCUGCGCUUCAAAUACGUCCACGUACCGACAUAAAUCAAUAAAGCUGGUCAGUCAUUUAAGAUAUUCUCGAAUAUUAAUGUUUUAAAUAUGAAUUAUAUAUAUAAAUAAUGGUUUUAAAUAUGAAUCUUCUAACAAGUGAAAAAAAUAACUUUAAGUCAUUUUCCGAUAUAUCUUUGUGCGAAAUUUUAUUGAUAUUAUUUUGGCAGAAUUCGUCUAAGAAAUCUAUUUGCUCAACAGAUAAAUUCCUUUAGUUUAUGUGACUUUUCGUAAAUGCCGAUAUAUACAAGAACAAUUGCAUUUGCAUACAUCGGUAUCUGGUGUUCGCAAUUAUGCACCACGUGGAAAUAGAAGUAGCUAAAGUUUAACUAGCUUCGCAAUGAAAUGGUCUCGUUUUCUUCAUCAACUGAAAUUGCGGGGAAUUAGCUUCUGGCCGCUGUCCAGAUUACUUCUGUAUUGUACUUCUCUAUCUACCGCAUCUUGUCUCAUUUGAUUUAAAUGAUGCGAAUUUUGAAAAUGGUGAGCUAGUGACAAGUAAUCACAGAUGAUUUAAAAUCUCUAUAGUACUGAUAUCAAUCUUAGAUAAAAAUUUUUAUAAUAUUUUAUUUUUUCUUUCCAAGAUAUUAAUUUACGUAAUGCAGCAAAUUAGCAUACUUAAUUUCACUUUGAACGGGCAAUAUCAUCGCUCUAAUGGCGUAAUUAUCCCGUAAUGCUUUAACCGGGGGACGGAUAACGCAUCGGCCGGAGUAGGCAAAAUUACAACGAAAUUGCAGUGAAAGAAUUGAUACGUAGCGCGUUAAAUUUAGUUUCACGGUAGUGUCGGUGUGCAUUACGACCAGCCGAAUUUCUCGUAUCUGACCAAAUUCGAGUGACCAGGGGGAUAAAUUGUUGCACGCUUUUCGCAGAGCGGCUGCCGGAGAAUUGUGCAUUUGCGUCACGUAACCUGUUUUACGUUAGCGCUUUUGUUCCGCAUGAAUCUUAUUAGCGCCAACCAUUUUACAGGAAAUUGAGUUAAACAGUUUUCUGCAUUAAAGCUUUCGCUUUCCUUUCGGGUCGCUAUUGGCCUACAGGAAGUCGUGCAGAAGAUCGUGAUUGGUGAGGGAGAGGGUUAGGAUAUUUCAUUAAUAAAGCAAUAAAAAACGACAUUUAAAUGUCAUAUUCAUUUCAAUGUCAAAAUAUUUCAAAAAGGAAGCAUGUGUAUGUAACUCUUUGUUAUCACCAUUAUUUGUUAUGAUUAGUUUAUAUAUAAGAAUGCACGCGUUAUGUAAUUCAAUUACUGCACAGCAGAGUUCUGCUUUAAAAUAUAGAGGAUAAUAGUUGUUAUGAAAACAUUACAUAACUGUAUUGAAAAAAAUAAAUUGUAGUACAAAUGUAUUUUAGAAAAUGCAAGUUAAAACUCACAAGUUUUUCAAUGCAAUAUAAUCAUUAAUUGUGGAAAUUUUAUGUGUUAUUUUUUAUAUUUGAUACGAAAGUGUCUAAUGUGCAAAUUAUGAUAAAAUUAUAUAACGCUGAAACAUACUUAACAUGAAACAUAUUAAACAUACGCAAAUAAUUUUGUUUGAUUAAAUAUAUCAAUUUAAUGUUCAAUAAAUGCAAUGUCUGAUAAGGUACUGAAUAUAACUACUUUAUAUAACAGGGUUCGUCGUGGAUUAAGUUAGUUUGUACUACAUCCCCAAAAAACAAGCGAUGUAGUUACUGCCUAACGUAGUUAUAUUACAGUAACAUGUUGUCUAAGUAUAUAUAAUGCAGAGGAUAAUUCCUAUCAUCUUCGUAAACCGCACGCACGUAUUGAUCGUAACGCAAAUGUGUGUAUAUACAGGGUGGUCGGUAAACGUACUAAUAGCGGAAAUGUAUUUUAUUAAAAUCUUUGUUUUUCUCCAAAAAUAUAAAUAAAAGAUUUAAUUAUUUAAUAUUCAAGAGACCAGUGGGCUACAAUGAGUACAAAAAUCUUAAUCCUUUUUUGGAAAGUUUGUGUUACUCUGAUUACAGUAUGCCAACAUUGGCAGAUGUAUGAUAAAUAUAUAUUAUUGGAAAGGGUUACGUUAAGAACUAACUAUAAAAAAUGCGCCAUUUGAGUUAAUUACAGUAAUAUUUUGUAUUAGCAAAAAUAAAUUUAAAAAAGGACGUUAGCGUGCAAUUAUAUAAUGUACGAGUUUCAAAAAGAAAUAAAAAUAGUGAAUGCUGUAAAAAACUUUAGAAAUUUCCCAAAUUUAUCACAAAUAUUUUUCACGACCUCUAUCAUAUUUCCUUUUCAAAACAUGUAGAUUAUAAUGAAAUACAAAUGUUCGUAGAUAUCUCAAAUAGUACCAAUUUUUUUUAUUUUAGACAGCUCUUGGUAUCCCUUUUUUUAUAUAAUUCACCGUAGUAUCUGCCAGUGUUGAUACACUACAACCUCAUAGCACUAUCAAAAAGUGCUAAGAUUUUUGUGCCCUGAACUGACGAAUAUAAUAUAUAUAAAUAAAUUAAAUUUUAAAAGCAUAAAUUGAUAAAAACUUUUCUUGCAAUAAAUUUUAUACAAGUGAGCUUUAAAAAAAAUUUGUAACGCUAUAUAAAAACGUUAUUCGUUGAAAAUUAAAACAGAUACUUAUAUACAGAAUCAGAUAUAAUGAUCGUUAUUUAAUUUUUGUUGAUUACUACUUUUAAUUCUACGUUUUAUUUUAUAGUACAGAUUCGCAAAAUUCAUAUAAUAGGCGACAAAUAUGUGCAAUAUGAUUUUUGUUUGCCAAGAUGAAUUCUGCUAACGUUGCACAACGAGCAACGGCAUGGAAAUGGAAGAGAUCGAGCUUGAGAGAGGGAUGCGAAUUGAAAGACUCCACUUUAGCAUCCCCGACCUCGUUCUUCCCAUUACCAAACACUAGCAGUUUCGCUACAGUUAUAGUUGCAGUGUGUGCGACUAUGUGAAACGCGAAGACGGGGAGAAACGGGUUGGCGCGUUUUUAUUUACGACCUCACCCAAUGAAAUAACGACUGCGAGAAGGGGUGUGCAAUUGCCUUCUCAUCUCGGCGACCCACAUAAGCGCUCAUUGGCUUUCUCUAAAAACGUUAAUUGCUUAGUGUUAAUAAAGGGUUGGUACUCCAACAUUUCGUUCACUCCGUGAUUGCGUUCUCAUUUGAAUUUGACUAGAAAAAAAAAGAAAAAUUUUAUCGUGUUUAUGAUCCGCGAGUUUUAAAGAUGUAUGUCACAUCUUAAUGUAUUACAUUUUCUUACGUUUUCAAUGACCGUUUUUUUAUUAGUUUAAAAUUUAAUUAAUUUUUUAUUUGCUCUUGAGUCUUAUGUAAAUUCGCGUUUUAUAAUGUUUUACAUAUAUACUACUAAUUAAACUGAUAGAGGUCCGUGCAAAAAUUGCUGAUCCAUUUACUCGUUUAAUAGUUGUUUACUAAAAUUGCAACAAAAUGAAAUUAUUUUCGCUGCAUAAGCCAAUAAAAGCUAAAUGUUUUAUUGUUUUUCUCUUUGCAGUUAAUUAUAGAACCAAAAUUUGGAUAUUCAAGACUUGAUUUUUUUGUUGUUGAUUAUAAAAAGGAAAGGAAGUAGUAGUAGUGUAGUUUUUAUAUCUUUGUAAUUUUUGGCUGGCAUUUUAGAACCAAGAAACAUCCUUAAAUUGUAAUACGGUUUUUCGCUCCGAAACAAGUCGAAGAAAUCAAUGAAUAGUUAUUUAUCGUAUGUUUACGCAUUGUUCGUCAGGAAGAUCGUGAUAUAUCGCGUUAUGAAGAGAGAAUUUCGAACAUGUACGUCAUUCGUUGAGUUUGCCUGUAAGCACCGCUUUUUGGGCUAAACGUCGGAGUUGCCUUGUCCGAAACUUUUCGACCGUGUUGUGUCGCUUAGACAGGCAGUAGGGGCAGCGAAUUAUUCGACGCUCACCGACAGACUGCCAUGGUUGUUUGCCGAAGUGAAUGUAGAACGAUCAAUGUGAAGCUUCCUGUCCGCUGAUGGCUGCAUCGCUAGCCAUUAAUGUUCUCAUCGACACUCAAACUGUUCUAUUUUUUGUUGUUUUUGUCUCUAGUUUUUGUCUUUUAUAUAACUCAUUUCGUAUGUUUUUUUUGCAAUUCUAAAAUUUUUUUAAUUUAGUAAUAUUCUUGUAGAAAAAUAUUAAUUGUAAAAAUUAACAAACAAUUAAUACAGUAUUAGUAACUCAUUUAUUAUAUAAGUGACUUUUGUCAAAUAUAAUUCCAUUUUAGGUAAGAGAUUUAACUCUUUUGUAGAAUAUUUACCUUUUUUGCUGUUUCAUUCAUUUGUUUUAUCUUUGGUCUUUUAAAUUUAUUUAGAUAAAUAAUCGGUCAUAUAAUAUUCGAAUGUUAUAAUUACUUAAUUAUAUUUAUAUUAUAAUUUGCAAUAAAUAUUAAUAUUUUAUAAUAAUUUCUUAAAUACAUGCUUUUAUCUAUUAUUUUAUUUUUUAAGGAAAAAAGUUAAUAAAGAAACAUGAGAGCGCACCUACGCUUGAAAUUCUUGGUUGAAAAAUUUAAGUGUAUGUAUAAAAUUUAUGUGUGUGUAUAAGAAAGACCGCUCUCUUUUAUAUUUUUCCGUUCCUAUAGAUACACCCUACUGCAAUAAGCAAUAAGCGCGUCCGAUCGAUUUUCCUAAAUUCAAUUAGACGCGACAUAUUGCAGAUGCGGAUCGUCGACGCGGGUGGUCUAUACCUCGAUUUCAUCUCGAGUCGCCUCGCGGCCGUGAAAACGUUUACACCAUAAAAAACGCAGCAGAAUCCCGUCUCCCUCCACGAGAUUGCAUUAAUUCCACGCGCGACACGUAACCCUAGCAAUAAAGUGGCGUAAUUGCCGAUGCGCCCAUGCCCCUUUGGGCGCCGAGGAGGAGGAGGAAACCCCCGUCGGCAUCGGGCGCGGAAAGUACGCGCGAUGUAUGCGGGGAAAAGGGGUCAUCGACGUACAAAUCCACCCCGACAUAUCCCACACGCAGGCAGACAGUAGGUCGACUUAUGCGAGCCACGUGCACCAUUCUAAUUUGCUUACGAGCUACGGUCUUAAAGCACAAUGCGCCACGGGCUCCGGGAAUACGUGCGUCGGUCGGCCGUACGGACAAUGCACAAUGUGCCCUACACUUUCGCCCCCGCAUUGUUUCUCGAGUUCGCGAGUCCAAUGAUAUCGCCAUAGUUUUGUCAUCUACGUCCGCACGAUUGCGGUCCAUUCUGGCUAACGGAACUAAUGUAAAGCGCACGAGAAAGGAUGCGAAUAACUUAUUUAACGAUCCAACUCGCGAGCGAAUGGCAGUAAGUUUGCUUUAAUCACCUGACUAUAUCACAAAUUUGCGCCAGUUACUUAAGAAACUUUGUCGGCUUCCAGAAAUGUCGGAAGACAUCAAUGACAUAUUGUCGAAAAUGUGCGCUUGACUCUUUUUAUUUAUAUCUAAAAUCGUGCAGAAAUAUCAAAAUCAUUAUAUUAAUCAGAUGGAAUGUAUAUUAUAAUAAAAAGAGUCUAUAAAGAAAUGAGCAAUUAGUAUUUAACUGCAAUCUGUAAGACCAAAUCGCCUAGGUCGAAAUGUGGCCUCCGAGUUUUUGAGUUGAGAGUAGCACUAAAGGUUUUAUUUCAUUCUCUCAUUUCGUCCGUAACGUAUCUGGUCCAAUUUAAAUUCCAAGUAAGACCAGCGCGGAAAGCCCGAAGGACCUAAUAUAAUUCUGAAUACAAGGGGCACCCGGUACGCCUGGGAUCUAACUUGCAUACAUUUGCCAAAUAGGCACGUUAACGUUAAGAAUAGCGUCUGCAUGCCUUCCCGUAACAAAAAGAAUGAAUAUAUUUCUCGUCAAAUAUAUUAUGCUACGUUAAAAACCUUGUCACGUACGUAAAUUAGCUGUCAGUUUAUUUAUAUUAUGGAAAUAUCUCUUAUUUUAAAUAAUUAAUUGUAAUGAAUCAGCUAAUAAAAAUAUAAUUAAAAGUAAUUGAACAGAUAUACGUAUAAACCAUAAUAAUGCAAUAACAUAUAUGCCUUAGAGCAAAAUGAAAUUUUGUUUUGACUGGUAAUUCCGCAAUGUUACAUAUUGAUCGGAUCUGCAAUGCAGAUUACGAUAUUCAAGCAUGUCAAGUGAGCUUUGCAGUUGUGUGUGCAGUUUUGGGAAAUUAUUAUCUUUUUGAUCCAAGUCAUGUUUCUUAAUCAAACCUGUAUUAGAAUUGUCUAUCAAAAUUAUUCAAUUUAGAGACAAUCUUUAACAUUUUAGAAAAUUGCACGUGUAAUAAUCGAUAGAUUAGAAAAAUCAUAAUUAUAAUGAACACGUGUGAAAGCUUGUAAAUUAUGCAUUGUAAAUUGAAGUAUACGGUUGUUAACUAGUGAAAUUUACUUUUGUUAUGCAAAGUUAAUUUGACACGGUCGUUGCAUCGUUCUACGCAAGCAAGUUCCUCUUUAUUCCGUACGUACCGACACGAUCUAUAUCUUCUUGCGUGUAGUAGUGAUGCAUCGUUGCUGCUGGGUCGGCUUGCGGUAGCAAUUGAAUCACACGGGCGACAGUUUAUAGCCGUACGAUGAUCAUCAUGACCAAUACAGCGGUCACUUUACUCUGCUAUUACUCACUUCCAUCUCAAACAGUCGCGCAGGCAACCCAUUCGCCACUUCCGGCACGGUAUUGUUCCUACAAGUUCGGCCGUGCGCAGAUUCGCGUAGAUGUAUGUGCACGCGUGCACACGCGUAUAAGGCUUGAUCCUUCGUGCGUGAUGAUACCCCUUCGAAAAUGGCGGAAUCCACGUGAACGCAAAACAAGGUCGAUGUCCAUAAGAGAAAGAGAGAGAGAGAGAGAGAGGGGAUACGAUGAACGUAACGCGAUCGUCUGAGUGUGCACUCGACAAGAAAAAGCUCACCACUGUAUGCGCGAAUUCGAGCGCGGGCGUUCACCUCUCACAUUUCGCGCCAUGACUGCUGCGCGCGUGGCUACGAAGAUUAACGCAUAAAACUUGUCAGGUCGCAAUUUCUAUCUUCUAUCUCCAAACGAUCAGCGAUAGAUUUAUGCAGAAAGAAUCUCUGAAUAAUUCACAGCACACGAUUCGUCAAGUCUUUCGUCUUAUACGACGCGGAUCCUGCGAGAGGCACGAGGGGGAUGGUGAUUUCUCGCACGAUUGUGGCACCUGCUAAUGUUUCGCCGAGACGUUGACCCGAUUCAAGGUUAUGACAGAGGAACAAUUGGUCCAGAAGGUAGCGCCAACGGUCGUCACGACGGAAACGUCGAUGCGUAACGAUGCGAUUCUCUCCCCGGGUAGUGGGAGUCUCACCCUUGACCGAACGCGUCUCACACACUGCACCUCCUCCGCCUACUCGUUUUUCUUUCCCUUUUUUUUUUACCGAUCCAACGAGAUCAACAACAAUAAGAACACGGAGUAAAACGACAAGCCCGAUAACAUUGUGGCACAACGCUCCUCCGCAAGCCGAUUCUGCGCAGUGUCGUUCGCACAUUCGGAGAGGCCGACAGCAGCCACGCUACACGAAGAGAGGAUGUCGGCGAUCGUGGCGCCAUCCGCGACGGGAGGGGCGUCGGUGGUUGGUGCGGGGGUGGCACACCGACUCUACCACCCCCGCGACAUCCCAUCCGCCGCCACCUCUGCUCUGUUCCCUCGCUCUCGUUCUGCUCUCGCUCUCGCACCAUCGUAUUCCCGCCGCUCCCGCAAACCCCAUCGACCUACCGUCUUCCCUGCCGUCGUACCCGCGCGUCCCCCUUGCCGCUACCUUGCACCCUCCGUUCCCUCUCGCUAUCCCGCUCGCUCUAUCGUGGCAGCCACCACCGGCUGCGGUAUCGAUUGGCCCAGUUGUCCCUCGUCAGAGCACGGCAGUCGCUCCAACAUCCGAACACGACCCACCACCGCCUUCUUCACCUUCAUAGCCAUCUUCACCUGCCGCCCCCUUUCCUAUUUCCUGCACCACCUUCGCGUUCAUCUCUUUUUCGACGCGCGGUGAUACAAAUUGCAAAAAGGUAUUUCACGCUACUGUGAUGCGGCAAGUUGGUAAUGGGCAGAUUUUUACGACUAUCACUUCCGCCGUCGAUCAGAGUGGCACAUUCUUUUUUUUUUUGUCGCAAAGAAGGAACGAUUGUAUUCACGAAAAGAGACUUGAUAUGACGUGAACGGUAAAGAGCGAUAGAUUGGAUUAACGGCCCAUCGAUUGUUUGGAUAGCGGAAGGGAUGUUUUUAUGACGUCGCGGGAACGCGUAGUAUUGAUUAACUUCGUGUGGAUGAUCCCCGAAACUGAUAAGAAAAUAGGAUUAAAAAGCUACUUCUUCGUAAUCCUGUUAUCAUUAGGGAGGAGCUGCAAAAAUUUAUGUGAUCAAUCCAAUAUCUGGGUACUGGAAUAAUGUUAUUCUUGCUUGCACCACGAACAGAAGGGAGAAAAAUAUGUCUAUAUAUAGAAUGCUACUGACAUGUAGGAUAUCUGUAAGGCUCUUAAUUAGCAAAAGAUAGCUAAAAUCUGAAGUUUUAAUCUAUAAUUAAAACUGUCUCAAAUUAGCCGAUUAAAACAGGUAAAGCUCGGUUCAACCUGUACUUUCCGAUAUCGAGCGAACGGUAAGAAGGUAAACGAGGUACCAUCACGGAAAUACAGGCGAACAGGGCAAUGUUCGUCGGCGGUCGUGAGUAGAGCGUGGCGGAAAACAGGGGCGAAUAUAAGCGACAAAGGAGUCGGGCAUUAUUAUAUGGCGAGGCUCUGAAUGCAUGACAAUGCCAGGCUCUCUCUCUCUCUCUCUCUCUCUUUCUCAUCUCCCUCGUCUCUGCACCCUCUUUGUCUCCCGGUCGCGCUCCCGGUUACUCCCGCGGGCACCGCUCAAGCACCGCUACGGGACUAUCGUUUCACAAUGCUACGCUAACAAGGUCAGCAAUUAAUGAAUCGUUGGCAGUGCGUCGCCAGAAAAAUACGCGCAUCCAAUGGGACCGGUGUAUCAUUAAGAAAGUAGUAUGUCGGGGUAUGCCGUUUCAUGGAUCGCCGCUUCGGAUGUUCCGACAUUAGCAAUCAGCGGCCUUUGAAAGACUUUAUGAGACUGAAUACAGAUACGAAAACUGUGCACGCAGCUCAAAGUUACUUCGUUUAUUUCAGUAUCUCUGAAAGAGAGAUUACGUUGUAAUUUGUGCGCGAGAUAAUUAGCAUCCCGCAGUGGCACGAAUUCUAAUUAGAGUGUUGAUCGCAAAAAAAUAAUUGGCACUGAUAUUUUAUACACAAGAUGUUGGAAUCAACAAACGUGAUUCCAACGAAAUUGAAACAAUCAGGUAUCACUCUUGCGUUUUCAUCGCGUAAUUUUUGCGUUGGUGCACGUGAAAGGCAACCCGUCAGUAACUGAAUAUUCUUUUUAUAGCCCGUUCAUACAUUGCUAUUAUCUGUUUCACGCCAGAUGUAUUUUUCGUGAAACAGUUUCACAUUUUUGAGGCUGUAAUCUACGAAUAAAAUUGUCAACGUUGAUUCGUUAAAGCUCCGACUAUAUUACCCGAUCAUGAGCGGAAUAUAAUAUGAAAAAGACUUAUGAACGAAGAGAAUCUUUUUCGCAAAACGGUCAUUUUGCAAAUAACAUAGAAAAAACUAAUAAUAAUGUAACUCAUGACUGGAUAUGCUCGAUCUCGUUUGCAGAUAUAAUGAGGUUGGACGAUGCGUUGAAUGUGUCUUACUUUUUUCAACUUCACCGCGUCGGGAAAUUAAAAGAAACGGUAAACGUUCUCUCCCUGGACGAGAUAGAAAGCUAGUAACCAACUAUCGAGAAAAUCGUAGAAUUUUCCCUCAGGAGUGCCGCGUUCAAGAAAAGUAUAUACCUCGAGGGCUCUUACAACGCACUUUUAUAUAACGUAACGGCGAGCAUCGGUGGGCGGUAAGGUCGAGUUUUAACCUUCCCAAUCUUCAGAUUGCUUAGCUGCUUUUAGUCGAAGCACUUUUUAGCCAAUCACGCAGUAGCACUCCUUGUUACAUUCACCGAGUUCUUCCAGUAUUUACGGCGGAUUGAUCGAAAAUUCUUCCUUAUUUUUGCAGUAAGCAGUGAUUUUUAAAAUAAACCGCACACAAAUGUGCGGACAAAAUUUUGCAGUAAAAAUUACUAUGGUAAAUAUAGUAAGCGCGGACUAUGGAAGAGAUUAUGAAAAUGUUUACUAUGUUUUUCAUCAAAUUACCGUAGUAUUUACCAUGAUAAAUUCUCUGAAAUUUCUUUUUAUGGUACGUAGCUAUUAUCGUAUACAGUAAUUUUUACUAUGAAAUUUUCUCCGUGUAUAAUUCAUGAUACAACUUAUUCAUAAAAUUUUUCUUAUAUGUUAUGGAGAUUCAAGUAUCACGCGACAUAUUAUUUGGAACGUUAUUGAUCGUGUACAGACUGGUUGAUUCUUCUGAAACAUGUUGAUUUCGUUGUAUAGUCUAACGCGGAUGGGCGAUUCUGAAGAUGUUUGAAUGAUGAAUCCAAUAUCACCCUGGGUUGGGUCGCGGCAGAAGCGAAAUACACCCCCGGGACAGAAACCGUUUCCCUAAAAUAGACCAAUGAGCCGUCCCUGUUCCACAUACAUCAGGGACUUUGGGGCCGCGGCAUGUGUGCGCGCAGCGGAGCAAUGCAUCAUACGUUACAGAUUGGUUUUACGUAAAAGAACGCCUAUAUAAUGGUGUGGAUGUUUGAUGCCGAAGAGGGAAAUGGUUGGAAAAUAACGAAAGUAAAGCGCCAGCUAUCCAUUGUCGCGCAUUGUGUCCCAUUCGCGCGAUUUUUUAUCGCUUCGCAGCUCCGCGUUUUCAUGACCUAAAACCGGCCAGCCUAAAAACGACCGACGCGGAAACUUGAAAUCCCGGUUUACAUUUUUUGAAAAAUGUUUGCUCCCGUGACCUGCUACAAAGCGUCGUUUUUCUCGCUAAUUUUACGUAAUACAACGCGCAACGAGAGAAAUAUGGAUAAUAUUAAUAUAAUAAAAACGCAAGUUAGACAUUCUUUAAAAUGAGAGGACAUUAGCGUGGCAUUAGCCGUGACUUUUAAAUAUGACGUUAAAUAAGUGACACAUACAGUGAAUAGUGAAUAGCGUGUCGUCGCUUCACCACAGCCGCGUUUCUUCGCGCGCUAUAAUGUUUGCAAAGAUAUGCGCCCUCGGAAAGCGACCCCCGUCGGCGGACGCCGGAGAGAAGUACACAGUCACUAAUUACAAGGGACACGAAAUUACAUAACUUUCACGAGGUUGUAUAUUCUAAUUUGGCGGAUCGUUAAAGGUCGGUCGGUUUAUGCAUAUUCAUCAGACAUUUUUUAACGACCAUCCCCCUUCAUCCCUUCCUACCCGGCCAAAUCCAGAAGAAGCUACUUCGUAUGUCGCACGCUCUAAUGACCGUUUUGUAAAUUAAUGACGGGUGCGCAGCGUCAUUUCACGGUUGAUGGCGAUAUUACGGCCGGAGUAUAAUACGUCUACGCGGCACCUGCAAUUAACGCGCGCGGCAUUGUUGCACAUCGAUGGACGUAAAUAAACGCGGUAGUAUACAUAUGUAAACGUUUCUCGUUAUGGCCUACUCGUGGAAGCUUGCGCACGUGUAAUUGCCACCGUACACAUCGUUCGUUAAACACAAUUCAACGAUGGCAAAUUGUCUUCUCGGUUCCUUCUUUAUAUUUUCACGAUUGCGAUAAUGAAUUUUCCUCGUAGAGAGAAAGUAUUCAACGGACAAUUACAUGGAAAUGUAUUCUUAUCAAGAUUACGGUUUCAUUAAUUUCGUUAAAAUGGAGAAAAAAGUGCAGACAUCUGAAUACUUAUUAUCUCAUAAACAUUUUACAAGUAUUGACUAAAUUGCAAACUAAAAAAUUGUACAUCUUUUUAAAAGAAACAAGACUCUCCUUUCUCGUCUAAAACGUAUCUUGUGAACUAAAGAUUAAAUGACAUCAACAUUUAUAUACAUGGACAUAACUACUAUUUUCCUAUCUACUGUUAUGUAUCCUAUCGUGCCAGUCAAUAGCUUUAAUCGGACGGAGGAUACCGUUUAUCGCGUUAUCGUGCCAGCACCGGUCGACCUAAACAGCGUUUCAACCUGCAAUUUUCCGUGAAUACACCAUUGACCAGCGACCGCGCGAAAAUACCCGGGUUAUAAAAUCCACGACAAGCAAUCCGCUGGCUGAAGCUUUGCCGACAAUCAAAUUUUGCAGCGAGGAUCACGACGAGUUGAUAGGGUUGAUUAAAUCAACAGAUCGAAACUUUAAGGCGGGCCGUGAUCAUUUAAUUUCACCGAACCGGAAAGGUUCUCAGGUGGACCUAGUAGCGCUUGUAACACCGCCAGCGCUGUCGAUAAAAAGUUCUUUCCAAAGGCAGACUGGAGGAAAGUGGGCAAAAGAGCAAAGAACGAGAACGCAUCCACCGAAUCACAAAUGAGUUACAAGACUCGAUUAAGCAUCUUCUAGAUGCAUUAUUAAGGGGCGGAAGAGCAAAGCAGGGAGUUAGAGGGAAAGAGAGAGAGAGAGAGAGAGAGGGAGAGGGAGGAGGCAAGAGUGUAGCUGAGUUAGCGAGAGGCAACUAAUGGGUUGUAACUAGUGUGUGCAGCGGAUUAUAUCUUCUCGGUCAAGCCGGUACAAGCCACUAUACGUAGAAACCUCUAGUGGAUGGGUGUGAGAAAGAUGGAGAAUACAACAAGAGAUGAUGAGAGUGGCGAGCCGUUAGAUAGAUAGAUAGAGAUGGAGAGAAAUAGAGAAAGAUAGAGGAGAAGGAGGGGGUGCGCAAAUGGGGUGUGGGAGAGAAAGGGCGGGGAGAGAGGCUUAACUCGGGACUUUAUGAAUGCCCGACUGCAGCGGAGGAGUUCAGGUAAGAUAAGGGCUUUCUACACCCUCUUCAUCCCACCGCCUCAGGGCUACCGUGUCUAUGCCUCUCUCUUCGUCUCGUCGAAAACGCUACAUCACCACCAAAUCCGGGCAACGGUUUCCCGGGCACGCAGCUACUCCCUCGCUUAUACUCACGUUCCGAUCGCUUAACGCCAGAUUUCGCAACUUCUGCCAUGAGACAGAAGCCUCAUUAAUAUUCGAACGGCGAUCUUUCAUCGUACCGAUGUUACUACGAUCUCGAUAUAAUGCGAAGUUCCGACAUUAUCGUCAUCAAAAGCGGUCCUUCAAAUGCACAACAUGCUAUCCGUUAAUCGAGAUCUUCUUCAACUAGACAAAGACUUGAUUUCGAUCUAUUGGUUUAACUUUGUAUUAUGUUUAUUAUUAGCAAGUGUGAAACACUAUGAAAUUAAAUUUCCGCUGGAUCAGAUAACUUUUGCACAAUAUAAAUAGUUUCAUAUUUUUUAAAUAUGACAGAAUUUAUAAUAAGAAUUUAUAUAUACAUAAAUUAUAUAAAAUUUGUCAUGAAUAUUUUAAAUUUUAAAUGGAAGUUAAGAGAACAAAUUAAUAUAAAUCAUUUCCAUAUAAAAUCUUCAAUAUAAGAAUCUCUUGCGCCCGAUUACACCUUGCUACCCAUCGAUGGAAAGGAGGUCACGAUAAAAACGUGGAUCGAAGUUUAGAAACUUAAAACGCAUUGUAAUAUCGCGCGAUUUGAAUCAGUGCUACAGGCGACGAACUUAGCAGAGAACUGGCAGAAUAGCUCAUCGACCGCCCGAUACGUCUCAUUUCGCGCGAGAGUACCUAUAACCUGGGCGAUAGGUCAGCUCGCGAAGGAAAAGAGCGCGCGAAUGCUUCUAGAGGAAAGGCAGGAUUUCAAUUUCAUGGCGAGCAAGGAGCCCAUUGGAGCCUUAUUCCGGCGUAUAAACAUAAACGGCGCAAAACGAUAAAAGUCGCUUGUGCCGUGUACGGAGCGCCGCGAGCAUGAGGGAGAAACGGUCGGAAGGAGGUCGAAGAAGAGAGAAAGAGAGAGAGAGUGAGAGUGAGUGAGUGACUGAACAGGGUGGAAAAGGGGAGCGGCGUAGAAGAGUGUCAGCGGCCUGGCAGGUGUGAGGAAAAAGGAGUGCCCGCGUUAGAAGGAGCGAGAGUCACUGAGAGAAAGGGGAUCCGUCGGGGUGGAUUCGCGAGCGAAAUAUAUUUCCCGAGCGGGACACGAAUUACCGUGGAAACGAGAAAAAUAAUGAAACUCGUUCUGAAAUCUGUUAAAGUGAAUAUUAUUUAAAUCUGCCGGCGUAACCGGGAUAUCGCGUGAACGAUUACGCCUGCGACGAGAGAACACGUCGGUAGGCGACUAACUACCGUAUGUUCUCUCUCUCUCUCUCUCUCUCUCUCUCUCUCUCUCUCUCUCUCUCUCUCUCUCUUUCUCUUUCUCUCGUCGUUAACAUCGUUAGGUGUUCACACAGUGUGUUCUUCACGGCACCACGGCACUAGUGAUAGCGGUGACGCUACGAUACCAAUAUUACCGUUCUGCUAUUGGCGUUCGUGAAAACCACUACCGCGUGAAUACCGUUACCGUCGUGGACUCCAAACUCACCUCGUCGCGCCUCUGACUUCUAGCAUCUAGCCGGCGGAUAACCCCAAGCUUGUAGUAUUAUUUCUAGUAUAUGCGCGCGCGCGCGCGUGUGUUUUGCAUUAAUACACCGGUCGGCCACGUGUGUGCGUACCGCCGCCCACAUAUUCUGUCCUGUUUCCGCAUGCCCGCUCCGCUCGCCUAUCUGCGUUCAUGCGAUGGUCACCGUACAAUCGGCGGCCAUAAAAAGCGAUAGCGGCCGACGGAAUAUCUGCAAAACCGCUCCCGAGGCUCCUGCUUGCUUUUAUUCGCUCAUCCCCGACGCCGCCGGCCGCUUUCCCGAUGAUCCGGUUAUCUACGUGCCGCUCGUCCGAUAUCAGCCAAGUAUAAAUGUGUCAUUAGGAGAACACGUCCGAUAUCAGUCGAGUAUAAAUGUAUCAUUAAGAGAACUCAUGCGCGGCAAUUCACGAGUAUGUGUCGGCGAUUGCGCUAUUUGCGUUAGCCGCGAUCGUGCGUCGCGCGGCCGGCAACCUGAUCCGAUGUAUACCUAUAUCCGGACGGACAAGUGAUAUCUUACCACAUUCAAUGAUCGGUUUGGCGGCCCAGAUUAUGCAAAAUCGAAUUUCUGUAUAUAGUCGCCUAGCGAAAUAAGAGAUGGGAAUCUGACGCUCAUUCGAAAUAUAAUCGAACGAAAUAUAGAUAUCCCGUUUUUGUCGGAAAACCGCAGAUUUUAUCGCGAAUAAAAAAAGAGUAGACCGACGUGAAAUCAUGAAACGAACAAGAUAAUGAGAAAGCUAAUUUUUCUUUCUGCCAUUUCUAGACCAAAAAGUGUACAUGAAUAUCAUUUAUUCUUAUCACUUAUUAUUAUUAUUAUUAUUAUUCACGAGAGAGAACGUUAUUUUUUUAGAAACGUUUUAAUGCGAUUAAAGAUAGCACUGGGAUAAUUGUGUCCGAGUAGAAAAAUCCUCAUUAAUUUUGCACGUUUCUAUCAUAAAUUUAGUUCGAGUGUCACACAUUAAAUGUGAAAGAGCAAAAGUUCAUGCUAAAACGACACUAAAGAUUUUGCAGGAACGAUGACGGGUUAAAAAUACGUCGACGCUCAUAACGAUACUUCGGACAUCGCUUGCGAUAUUAUCUCUGGCACUCUCGGGAAUUCCUUCUCGCCUCGGCGGGUGCCUUUUAUGCCCGUAAUAUCGGGCGCGUGUUACGCGGUCCCGACGGCACCGUCGCAGAUCGCCAUUGGCCGAUAACGAUAUUCUGUCAAUGUUACGCGCGCAUCGGGAUGGGGGACCGAGGGUUGUCGUCAUAUGUGCGCUACGAAACAGAAGACAGAGAGAGACGGAGAAAGGGAGAGAGAGAAAGAGAGAGAGAGAGAGAGAGACAGAGAUAGGGAUAGAUGGAGGGUAGGUCGAAAUCUUGAUCGCGUCACAUCGUCGCUGCGUCGAAACGUCCGCUAUACGACAUGACAGUUAUGCACCGGAGAUGCCCGAUGCCCUGUCAUUACGCGGGGAUAAAUCUUUCGGUGGGGCCCGCGAGGCUUCCAGAUGUUCGUCGAGAUCGCGUCACGGUUGGACGACUGCGGUGUCGAGCAUGAAACGCGACACGAUGUCAAGCCGCGAGAGGAAGUGCGUUAUCUGCGGACCGCUCUGCGCCGAAUAUCGGCUUGUUUGUGUUUAUCCGCAUACUCGACGUGUUGACGGUAAUACAGGUGGAACGAUCGGUUUGAACUAGGCGAAGUUUGCAUUACCUAGGUUUACCCCGUAUCCCGCUAGUGAACCGAUUAGCCGCUGCGUUAGUAAGUCGACGCGAUUGUCUGACCAAGUGUCGCUAUACAUUUUUCAAAACAGUUUAAAAUCUUUUGAAGAAAGAGAGAGUUAAGAAGAAAGAAAUAAGAAAGAAAAAUAUCAGGUAAUGACAAAAUAGGAAAUCAAAAGGCCAAAAAAGUAAAAAGGAGCUAAAUAACGCGUGCAAAUCGUGUGAUUGUGGUAUCUAGUAUAUUAAAAAAUUGAUUUAAAUAUAUUCAUGAAUUUUUGUCACGUAUCUGCGUUUGAUUAUGUUCGUAAUUUCAUUGCAGAGUAUUUAAUAUAAUAUAUUGAUAUAUCACUUAAUCAACUUUCUGGACACGCGUCCAGAUAUUUCUUGAGUAAUUUCUUUUCGUAUAAUACUCAUUCCACGUAGCAGUACAAAUCAUUCUUAAAAAAUAUAUAUCUCUAGUAUGAAAUAAUAUUUGGCCGUCCUACGAUGUGCGUGACGGUCGUACCGGCACGAAAAAAAUCUAAGCUAUGGCAAGACCAUCCGGUAACACCAGUUACGAUCCUAGCAGGCAAUUUAGAAUGGUGUGGACACGUCCGCCAUAACCGUACCGGAUGUGUCUGGACAUAUGGUAUGCGCACGAUUAAACUAGGGUGACCAGACCUUCCUCAGUCAAUCCUGAGUAAGAGUUUUCUCAUUUCCUGUCCCCUGUAUAUCGCUAAUAUUUUCGCAAAGAGCACCGUGACAUGGGUAGACGGUAAAUGACAUCGUGUCGUAAUCUUACUUUAUAAUCGAUUUGUAAAUUGUUUUUUAGUUUUUUCUCAAUUACCCUACAUACAAUCUGCUAUUCUAACAUUUGUAUUUCGAUUGUUAUUCUUAUCCAUUUUUUACCUAUUUGUUACGUUUAAUUAGAAAUCUUAAUUUUCAAGAGUUUUCCCUCAAGUCGGUCAAUUAACCGACGUUAAUUUAUUACAAUGAGUUUCUCCAGUUUAUUUUAGAACAAAUAGAGAGAUAGGUACAAAUAAAAUCGAAGGAAAUUUUGAGGUACUUAUGUUCACGCCAAGGUGGUUUACCACGGAAGAAUGAGCGGAAAUGAAAUUACUUUGCAAAUAUUCAUUGAGAACACGCAUUUCAAGACCCAUUUUAAAAUCUAUUUUCCACCUCGUAACGCAAAAUCCGACAAGUUACAAGCUUGUGCUUUCGGGUCAAAUGCAGCCCGAGAAAUCGCCGCCGCGCAGCGAAAUUAUAUAACCGCCAUUAUUUCCUUCAUUAUUACAGUUUGCCGGUAAAUGUCUGCUGCAAGUAGAGUUGUGCGUUAUUAUUACUCUUUAACAAUAUCAAAAGAAACAGUUUCGUCCAACAACCGUGAUGUUUCUGUUUGUUCGUAAGCUAUAUAAAAAGUACGAUGCACGAAACCAAUUACGUAGAGUUGAGGUUUAUUUGAAAUGCCGUUCCACCUACUUCACACGUAUCUUUAAGAGAACUUGGCCGAUACACGUAUUCCUUUUACAAUUACAUGGUGUGAUUUGCUCAUUUCACCAUACAAAAGCCGCGCUCUUCUCGAAAAAGUAAUUUACAAAAAAAAAAAAAAAAAAAGAGCACGAUGAAUUGGAUAGCGGGCGAAUUACCUUCGUAAAUUCAAACAUCGAGAGCUGUGGUGAACGAGAACAAGGGCGAAAACGAGUUUCUGUCCUCUCGCAACUGUUCUACAAUUCCGCGCGAAUGUCAUCGUCGGCGUUGAAGGAACGGCGAAUAGCCUAGGUGAAAGAAUCGCGAUUAUUCGCAUGUUCAUUAAAACGCAAACGAAUUCCAUGCGUCCUCCGUGCCGGCCAACCCGAACAGUUCCGUCAUUGUGUCUCCGUUUCUUUUUCUCUUUCUCUCUUCUUCGUUACACGUCGCACCGUAUCGGACGAAUUCCGUGUAAACGAUUACGUGCCACUCUCGUGGAACCGGCGUUGGCGUAGCUUCUGUGUCGCCCGGCCGGACUCGCAAACCGACAGUUACGGUUGUUCUUUGCACCGCAAUCGCUCGGUCUUGCGAAGGACCACCACCCCGGGUGUUGCAGCGACUUCUUUCCCCGCCCCUCGGCUUUUCCAGCCUCUCCUCGUUUGUCACACGCACCGCACGACGCCACAAUAUAACUUCGUUUCAUUUGCAACCGCAUCCAUUAAUACCGUCCGUUGGCGUGGCCUGUAACUCUUCCGUGCCGUGCAAGAAAAUCGAUGUCCAUCGACUGUGCCGUCUCGCUGCCACGUUUUUUUCCUCCCCCGACCUCUAGUGAAACCGAGCGAAUAAAUUAGAAUCUUGAAUGGAACUCACGAUCGGCAAGGAGAAAUAUGUACCUUUCAAUCGGAACGUAUAUAUUCGACAUUUCUUAUGUAUAUAAGCGAUCGCACCUGCUAAAUAUAUAAUUUGUUUCUUUCGUCGCGUUGUAAAUUUAUUUUACAUAACAAUGAAUCAUUUUAGUUUCUAUUUUUUACAGCAUUAUUUAGUGUCGUAUUUAAUGAUUGUGACAAAAAUGAUGGUUUAUAUAAUCUAUUUCCUAAUCUAUACACACACACACACACACACACACACACAUACACACAUGCGCGUGCAAGUGUAGUAAUUUAGAAAUUUUUGUAAUUCCGAGACAAUACACCCCCUAUUAUGCGUGCGGUUGGAGAUUUUGUCACGAUUUUAUGUCUGAUCGACAGCGGUGUUCAAACGUUUUGUUUUCUGUUUCUGUCUCAUGCACCUUCGCCUUCUUCAACGCCAUUUAUCACACCUAUCGUACGGGACCGCGAUAGAGCUUCGUUUCAUUUGCAACCGCGUCCAUUAAUACCGCACACAUUGUUUUCUGCCGUUUCUCGUGCGCACGCAAAAAUCGAUGUUUGCUGACCUCUCUCGCGCGGUGUACAAUGGGUUAUGCUUUAAUGAUGUAAAAAUACGCGUAAAAAUAUGCUACACUUCCUUCUCUGUGUGUCAAUGAGAAACUGCUUGACAGAUUUCGAAUCAAUUUUUUUCCUCAGCAAAACUUUGAUGAGAAACUAUCAUAUGCCGCAACUUCUUAAUUUUAAAGAUUAAAUAUCUUGGCACACAAACAAACUUUAAAUUAAAUUUUUAUAAAGUAAAAUCCAGUUCCAAUUAACCGAAAGAUAAAAUUGGUUUAUGUUUUCACUGUUGAGAAACUCAAUUUGUCAAAACUUUUAAUAUUUUACAUUACAUAUUUCUUUAUUGUUUACUAUUCCAUUUUGCGCUGCAAAAUGUUGUCUUCAAUUUUAUUAAAAAGUAAUUAGAAAAAAAUUCAUGUUUGAUAAAGCUUAUAAUCAAACGAAGGGAUUGUGUGCAGAACGGUUAAUUACUCUUCUGUUAUUAUUUCAGAGCAUCGUUUCGGGCUUCGAAAAAGUUGCGAUGAGUAGGAGCAUUACGCAAUACGGUAAUACAAUUUGAAGAUUAAUGAUCAUCUUUGGGAGAUUGCAAGAAAAAAUACUUGAUCAUCCGCUGUCCACCGCAUACUUCGUGUACUGUUGACCAUAGACGAGACCAGGAAAAAAAAAACAAUAUAAGUAACGGCAAACAAUAUAAGAUGAAAAGAGUUUUGAAGAUAAUAGAAAUUUUAUUAGAAGCAGCGUUUAUCGAAAAUGAAUGAGCAUUAACGAGGAUUUACCACCUUCAUUAACAAAUGGCAUGACAAUUUAUCCAGUUCAGGACAUAUAUACGAGAGGUAUUGCUACUACCGUUUUUAAAAUACUUCUUGGAUUUAUUUUAUCUUUGUAUUGCGAAUAUAAUAUACAUUCGCGCUUAUGAGAUAUACCUAGAAUGCAUGUUCAUAAACGUCGUAAAUGAACGAGGUUCACGAGCUUAAUUCACGUCGCUAAUUUUCACGAAACCUACGUGUAAUGUGAUCGCACUCGAGCGGGCAGGAGCAAUGCGGCCUUCGAAAUUCCGGAGGUAACCGUCCACGAAGAUGCGGUGGAGCUCUCGCUCCUUACCGCACGCCAGCUUUCCACCCGACUAUCCCUCGCCCUUUCAUCCACGCUCUCUUGCUGUCUCGCGAUAUCGGUAGACUAAUUGGCAGCCAGCUUCCCUCGAACCCGACGUGGCCGCCGCCACCGCCGUAUCGACGUCGCGUCGACACGAAAUGAGAUCCGACGAAAUUUCGUUUAAAACUUAGCCGACGAGCGGCUUACGCUCGUCGACCGCGGCCGCCGGUUCAAAGCCGCAAAGCUACUUUCUCUUAUCUCCCGGUGUGGUUGCUGCUCGAAAGCUGCGUUACACAGCGAGAUAGUGCGUGUGCCAAGAUAGCGCGCGGCCUAGCCAACGACAAGAGAUCUAAAUACUGUUGACGUUUUGAAACAAUAUAGUCAGCCGGGUCACGCUAACUUUGACGAUGGUCUGUACUCUAACUAGCCGAGCCCAGGCGCCAACUGCUAACUCCGUUAGCCCGGAGCAGCUCGAGCCUUUCUCUUUCCCUCUCGCACUUGCGCUGUGCUAUUGCCUCUGCCAUUGCAGCUACUUACUUGGUGUUGCCGCUGGUACAUUAUUGCAUCAGACAACAAUGAACCUAACUGCCAAAAUAGAAGGUCCCUUGGUUAUUUAAUGAGCCGACGUAUAAUGUAGUUUGUCGAUUACAGCAUUGUUCGCUAGAUGAUAACGCGUGGCUUCGAAACGUUUGCCUUUGCUAAGAUCUUUCGCCUUUGGCCGUUUCACAAAGUUUCGUGCUAUUCCGUGCAUCGAUGGAAAAUACAGGUUGCAAUGAGAUGUUUGUAAUGAGGACAUUUGUAUAAUUGAUAUUAGGUACAUACGUUGUUUAACAUACGUUGUAAGACAAAAUUAACAUAUAACACUGUAAAGAAACACGUCUAAAGUUAUUACUGAAAUAAUUGUUAAUGAAAAUUUGUUAAGAGUUAUAUCUUAUAUAAAAUUCAUGAGAAAUUGAGAUUGAAAGUGUUCCGCUUGUAACUCUUUCAUAUUCUAAAUCAGUAAUCCGAAUAAUUGAGAAAUACAUACGUACACAUUUAAGUUUUAGAUGAUACAAAAAAAUUAUUUAUCACAUUUAAUACAUGCCUAGUUCCGUAUGCGAUUUUCUUUUUUCGCUCGCGUUUCUGGAUGACUAUUAACAUUAAGCUUUUAACGAGGAACACGUUUACGCGAAACCCGAUUUAACUUCGGCCAGGGGUUCGAUACCAGCCGGUAACUCGGUUAGUCCGGUAAUCGCAUUUGAGGCAUGGAUCGUUAACUUAUCGCACCGCGGCAAAUUUUACGUCGUGAUUUAAAGGACCGAUCCGCUCAGGGCAAUCGACGAGGAUUUAUCCCGAUCCGUCAAGCUGGAUGAAAUUCUUUGUUGAAAUCUAACAGUAGAAAUUUUAUUCUUUCGCUUAAGAUAUUCGUUGUGAUUGAAUAAUAUUAUAGUAGUUGUCUGAAGCGACAGCAUGCGAUAUGAUGCGGUAAUCAUGCGUGUGAAAUAAUAAUCGCGCGUGAUGACAUAUGUAUGAAAAA
This 26977-nucleotide long non-coding RNA is filed under the name Monomorium pharaonis (pharaoh ant). RNAcentral's name for it is "uncharacterized LOC118644281, transcript variant X1". The record is from RNAcentral. Lineage: Eukaryota; Metazoa; Arthropoda; Insecta; Hymenoptera; Formicidae.